AAUUACUUGAAAUUCAAAGUUAAAAUUCUUCUCUACUUCUGGAUUAUAAGUUUCUGUAUAUUGGAGGCCGAAGUAAUCUUCUUCAUUUUUUUGGAAACCGCUAAAAAAUUUGAUGCCUUUGCAAUUUUUCACUUUAUAUACAUCUGUUUUGCAAUAUAUGUUUUUCUUAUAGUUUAUGGGAAUUGUAAAGGCCUGAAAUAUUGUCCUACCAAAAAAAUUCAGCAGGAGAUUGGAGCUGAAAAUAGUGAGAAUUAAUUCAAUAAUUUCCCGCUGUCAUGUUUGGGCCUGAAUGUACAUUUUAAAUAAACUGCUUAAUUAUAAAUGUAACAAGAGAGAACGCUAUCGUCGAGUUCCUCGACCAUCUGAUACCCGUUACUCA
Long non-coding RNA from Drosophila santomea, 379 nucleotides. RefSeq lists it as uncharacterized. Lineage: Eukaryota; Metazoa; Arthropoda; Insecta; Diptera; Drosophilidae. The record is from RefSeq and is a predicted model, not a curated record. The transcript has 3 exons.